This 330-nucleotide unclassified non-coding RNA is filed under the name soil metagenome. RNAcentral describes it as "partial contains 5.8S ribosomal RNA, internal transcribed spacer 2, and large subunit ribosomal RNA". The stretch from base 1 to 120 matches the Rfam family "5.8S ribosomal RNA", at positions 35 to 154 of the family's 154-position model. The record is from RNAcentral.
GAUGAAGAACGCAGCGAAAUGCGAUACGUAAUGUGAAUUGCAGAAUUCAGUGAAUCAUCGAGUCUUUGAACGCACAUUGCGCCCCCUGGUAUUCCGGGGGGCAUGCCUGUCCGAGCGUCAUUACAACCCUCAAGCUUUGCUUGGUAUUGGACAUUGCCAGUUUCUGGCAGGUCUUAAAAUCAGUGGCGGUGCCAUUUGGCUUCAAGCGUAGUAAUUCUUCUCGCUUUGGAGAUCCAGGUGGUUACUUGCCAAUAACCCCCAAUUUUUUCAGGUUGACCUCGGAUCAGGUAGGGAUACCCGCUGAACUUAAGCAUAUCAAUAAGCGGAGGA